AGAGUUUGAUUCUGGCUCAGGAUGAACGCUAGCGAUAGGCCUAACACAUGCAAGUCGAGGGGCAGCACAUGAAGUAGCAAUACGGAUGGUGGCGACCGGCGCACGGGUGAGUAACGCGUAUGCAACCUGCCUACAACAGGGGAAUAACCCGUUGAAAGACGGACUAAUACCCCAUAACACAGGGAUCCCGCAUGGGAAUAUUUGUUAAAGAUUUAUCGGUUGUAGAUGGGCAUGCGUUCCAUUAGCUGGUUGGUGAGGUAACGGCUCACCAAGGCAACGAUGGAUAGGGGAACUGAGAGGUUUAUCCCCCACACUGGUACUGAGACACGGACCAGACUCCUACGGGAGGCAGCAGUGAGGAAUAUUGGUCAAUGGACGCAAGUCUGAACCAGCCACGUCGCGUGAAGGAAGACGGCCCUACGGGUUGUAAACUUCUUUUGUAAGGGAAUAAAGUGUAGUACGUGUACUAUUUUGCAUGUACCUUACGAAUAAGGAUCGGCUAACUCCGUGCCAGCAGCCGCGGUAAUACGGAGGAUCCGAGCGUUAUCCGGAUUUAUUGGGUUUAAAGGGUGCGCAGGCGGGAGAUUAAGUCGGCGGUGAAAUUUUGCAGCUCAACUGUAAAAGUGCCUUCGAAACUGGUUUCCUUGAGUGUGGAUGAAGUAGGCGGAAUUUGUGGUGUAGCGGUGAAAUGCAUAGAUAUCACGAGGAACUCCGAUUGCGCAGGCAGCUUACUAAACCAUAACUGACGCUCAGGCACGAAGGCGUGGGGAUCAAACAGGAUUAGAUACCCUGGUAGUC
Molecule: ribosomal RNA, 798 nt
Filed under: uncultured Proteiniphilum sp.
Lineage: Bacteria; Pseudomonadati; Bacteroidota; Bacteroidia; Bacteroidales; Dysgonomonadaceae
Description: bacterial SSU rRNA
Rfam family: Bacterial small subunit ribosomal RNA
Source: RNAcentral